This 594-nucleotide ribosomal RNA is filed under the name Staurostoma mertensii. RNAcentral's name for it is "partial 16S ribosomal RNA". It matches the Rfam family "Bacterial large subunit ribosomal RNA", at positions 1833 to 2597 of the family's 2925-position model. The record is from RNAcentral. Lineage: Eukaryota; Metazoa; Cnidaria; Hydrozoa; Leptothecata; Laodiceidae.
GCCCUAGAAAAUAUCUAAGGUGUAACCUGCCCAAUGGCCUCAAAUUAAAAACUCAUAAAACUUGUUUAAUAAGGUUUAAAGGACGCAGUAACCUUGACUGUGAUAAUGUAGCAUAAUCACUCGCCAUUUAAUUGAUGGAUAGUAUGAAUGGUUGAACGAAUAUUCCACUGUCUUAAAAAGAAACACCAAAAAAUUGAAAUAAUAGUUAAGAUGCUAUUUAAAAUUGUAAGACGAAAAGACCCUAUAGAGCUUAACUAUAACCUCCCUUAAAAAUUAAAAAAGAAUUUUAAAAAUAGAGAGGUUGGUAGUUUAGUUGGGGCGACUAUCUUCUAAAAAUAACGAAGACAAGCAAAGUUAAUAAAAAACUUAUUGUAUAAUAAAUAAAUUUAACAAUUACAAAAGUAGGCUAUAAUGACCCGUUGCGUGUACAUAAAAACCACAACGAUCAAUAAAUAAAAGCUACCUUAGGGAUAACAGGAUAAUUUCAUUUUAGAGAUCAUAUCGAAGAUGAAGUUUGUCACCUCUAUGUUGAAUUAAGAUAUCCCGACAGUGCAGAAGUUGUCAAAGGUAGGUCUGUUCGACCUUUAAAAUCUU